CCGGGGCCGAGUUCGAGCACCCGCUCGGUGGUAUGCGAGAGCUCGGAGGUGAUCACCGC
This 59-nucleotide small RNA is filed under the name Xanthomonas campestris pv. campestris. RNAcentral's name for it is "sRNAXcc-5". Lineage: Bacteria; Pseudomonadati; Pseudomonadota; Gammaproteobacteria; Lysobacterales; Lysobacteraceae. The record is from RNAcentral.